RNAcentral lists this ribosomal RNA (479 nucleotides) under uncultured bacterium. RNAcentral describes it as "bacterial SSU rRNA". It matches the Rfam family "Bacterial small subunit ribosomal RNA", at positions 791 to 1266 of the family's 1533-position model. The record is from RNAcentral.
UAGUCCACGCCGUAAACGAUGUCAACUAGCCGUUGGGGGACUUGAUCCCUUAGUGGCGCAGCUAACGCGAUAAGUUGACCGCCUGGGGAGUACGGCCGCAAGGUUAAAACUCAAAUGAAUUGACGGGGCCCGCACAAGCGGUGGAGCAUGUGGUUUAAUUCGAUGCAACGCGAAGAACCUUACCUACCCUUGAAAUCCUUGGAAUCUUUUAGAGAUAAAAGAGUGCCUUCGGGAACCAAGUGACAGGUGCUGCAUGGCUGUCGUCAGCUCGUGUCGUGAGAUGUUGGGUUAAGUCCCGUAACGAGCGCAACCCUUAUCCUUAGUUGCCAGCACAUUAUGGUGGGGACUCUAAGGAAACUGCCGGUGACAAACCGGAGGAAGGUGAGGACGAUGUCAAGUCAUCAUGGCCCUUACGGGGUAGGGGCUACACACGUGCUACAAUGGGACAGUACAAUGGGGCAGCAAGACCGCGAGGUGGA